Molecule: ribosomal RNA, 914 nt
Filed under: uncultured Lentimicrobium sp.
Lineage: Bacteria; Pseudomonadati; Bacteroidota; Bacteroidia; Bacteroidales; Lentimicrobiaceae
Description: bacterial SSU rRNA
Rfam family: Bacterial small subunit ribosomal RNA
Source: RNAcentral
CGGAUUGGUAAGUCAGGGGUGAAAUCCCACAGCUCAACUGUGGAACUGCCUUUGAUACUGUCAGUCUAGAGUAUAGUUGAAGUUGGCGGAAUGUGUCAUGUAGCGGUGAAAUGCUUAGAUAUGACACAGAACACCGAUCGCGAAGGCAGCUAGCUAAGCUAUAACUGACGCUCAUGCACGAAAGCGUGGGGAUCAAACAGGAUUAGAUACCCUGGUAGUCCACGCUGUAAACGAUGAUUACUCGAUGUUGGCGAUACACAGUCAGCGUCUGAGCGAAAGCAAUAAGUAAUCCACCUGGGGAGUACGAUCGCAAGAUUGAAACUCAAAGGAAUUGACGGGGGCCCGCACAAGCGGAGGAGCAUGUGGUUUAAUUCGAUGAUACGCGAGGAACCUUACCUGGGCUCGAACGUAAGAUGACUGUAGGUGAAAGCUUACAUCUCUUCGGAGCAUUUUACGAGGUGCUGCAUGGUUGUCGUCAGCUCGUGCCGUGAGGUGUCGGGUUAAGUCCCAUAACGAGCGCAACCCCUACCUUUAGUUGCCAUCAGGUCAUGCUGGGGACUCUAAAGGAACUGCCUACGCAAGUAGUGAGGAAGGCGGGGAUGACGUCAAAUCAGCACGGCCCUUACGUCCAGGGCUACACACGUGCUACAAUGGCCGAUACAGAGGGCAGCUACCUGGUGACAGGAUGCAAAUCUCCAAAGUCGGUCUCAGUUCGGAUCGGAGUCUGCAACCCGACUCCGUGAAGUUGGAUUCGCUAGUAAUCGCGCAUCAGCCAUGGCGCGGUGAAUACGUUCCCGGGCCUUGUACACACCGCCCGUCAAGCCAUGGAAGCUGGGGGGACCUAAAGUCGAUAACCGCAAGGAGUCGCCUAGGGUAAAACCAGUGACUGGGGCUAAGUCGUAACAAGGUAGCCG